RNAcentral lists this long non-coding RNA (667 nucleotides) under Amborella trichopoda. Its description in RNAcentral is "long non-coding RNA (ATRI_LNC000666)". The record is from RNAcentral. Lineage: Eukaryota; Viridiplantae; Streptophyta; Magnoliopsida; Amborellales; Amborellaceae.
UUACGUCAACAGAGUACUCCCUCUAAACUUCAUGACUUGUACCGCCGUGCUCCUAGAGACGUCCUCGCCAAGCCAAUAAGAAGUGCAUUAGAAAGAGAAGUGCACUAGACAUAUAAGUCGCGGCCGCAAUAUGUAUUGAGAGCCUGAGGACGGGUCCUCUCUCGAGAUACAUGGCUCAAAUGCUUUCUAUCCGCCGUAGGUCGCUAGCUAAUGGAAUACCAUUCCUUCUAGCCAAGCCUAGCUUUCUACAUAGGUAGGCAUAGCAUAGGUUCUAUGGUCUGAGCCUUACUCUUUCGGAAGCCUCACUCGCGGCAAAGGAAAGACAAGAGUAAGAUCCAAUACCAUUAUUCUAAAAUUCAAUAAUAGAAUAAUAAUAGUAUUAGCCUUUGGAAAUAGGUGGACAAUCCUACCUCCCCUAACCUCUAUCUACUCUAGAAAGUCUAUCCUAUCCAGAGAAGCCUAAGGUUCCUAGCUUUGAUAGAGCUAUUAACUCAAUAAAUAAGAGCAGCUAGAGUCUGGUUUGUUUCUUCUUUGUUUUUUCUUUUUCUUUCUUGCUUGUGAAAGAUUAUUAAGACAUGAACGCACGCAUAGCUUUUUUUUUCUUAGGGUUCCAGCAAAUGCAAUGGAACCCUAGUCCUCGAGCUCCUCUGAGUCGCUCGAGUCUUUC